Molecule: long non-coding RNA, 252 nt
Organism: Bos taurus (domestic cattle)
Lineage: Eukaryota; Metazoa; Chordata; Mammalia; Artiodactyla; Bovidae
Source: Ensembl
GAGGACCCCAAGCGAAAACCAAGGCGGUUCUGCGCAUGCUCAAAGGCUUUCCAUGAAGACCGAAAGUCCUGACGCUGUGGACUUGGGCUCUGUUUCUCCAGCAUCCUCAGCCCCUCGGCGGAAGCCCCCUACUCCAUUCUGUUACAUGUCCAUGCUUUAUGUCCAGCCAGACCCUGGCCUUCCUCCAACCACGUGGCUCCAAGUCUGGCACCCCACAGGAAUGACUAGCCCUAGCUGAAGGCACACCAAACC